UGGAAUGGCACUCCUUUACAUCUGGCUCUUCAUCAUACAGAGAUGUACUCCGUCCCGAUAAUUUCAUCUGUAAACGAUAUAUUGGCUCAGAAGAGUCUCAAGUCAUACUUGCAGCAAUUAAAGUAUCUUCUUAUCUUGGGCCUUUAAGGAGCUUGUGAAAGAAUGGGGUCAAAACUUAAGUCUCUUCUCCUAAACCCUUGAGGAAUGGAUGAAUUGUCAAAGAACGUGGCUUUGUCCUGAACCAAUCUUUCAUUCACUAGAAAUACAAAGGCAGCUCCCUGCAGAAACAAAACUCUUCUCUCAAGUAAUCUCCAUGUGGAAAGAAAUAAUGUCAAAAAUACGAAACAAACUGGAAGCUUUGCGAAUAACAACUUCUGCAGGAGUCCUUGAAGUUCUGCAAAAUUGCAAUAUACAUCUUGAACACAUAAAGAAAAGUCUUGAGGUAAAACAAUACAACCUUGAGGUGGAGACUUUUUUAAUUCUACGGAAGUAAUGUAAUACACUACAGACACUAACUCCGACACAGAUGUUUUGCUGUACUCUUAACUGCCAACAAUUUUUCCAGCUCUCAUUACCUAUUGCAUUAAUGAAAAUAAUAUCAAAAGAAAAAAACAGACUGAUCUAAAUGACCUGCAGGCAAAGUACUAACUUUUAAGUGCUGGAUUCCCUUAUCUUUCAGUCGCCCUCUUGAGGGCCUUUGUCCUACUGAGAUGCUGUCAAGAGCACGCACAAAGAAAGUACUUCUGGUUAUCGACUAGCUCUAAUAUCAUUAAAUUGAGCAAACGUUGAAGUAGAAUCUUUUGAUGGUUCUAUAAAUCAAAUGACUAACUUCAUAUAUCUUUACACUGUCAGAACAUGAAAUUUUCAGCUGGACACUCACAUCCAUACAGACUGGGUUCUGCUGUUGAAGAUUUGUGGUGCUCCUAUUCAUGUCCCUUCACGAGCCAAGGAUUUUUUCAGGCGUCCAUUGCUGUCCCUUGUUGAACACAGCAGCAGUGGUGUGAGGACCCUCCAGAGAGCCUGGGUGGGCACAGCAAGGUGAUCUCUGUACAAAUCCGUGCUCUGGGCAGGCAGAAGGAACUGCACCCAGAGAUGUGAUUAAAAGUAGCCAGUUUAUGAGGCAGUCAUUGAGAUAAGCUGCCAGAUACUCCUAGCACAUCUCAAACUGAGGACCCAUUACUAAGGAUCAUCACAAACCAGUAGACUUUCAUUUAUUUGUGUAUUGAUUGUGUACUCUGUACCAGGAACUAUUAUUGUCUGCUUGGACCGCAAAGUUAGAAGUCAUCUUUUCUCCUAUUUCAGAACUCAAAAUCUGUUAUAGAGGGGAAAAGUGAAGAGAUAUUGCAAUGCUAUGAUGGGUUGGGUAGCAUGGCCAUGGCAAAGAGAAGACUUUACCCGGCUGGGGGAGCUGUGGCUUAGCAAGCUGUGUGAGGUAGAACAGAGCGGGUGGGUGUGAGGCAAUGAGAAGUGCAAACUUUCUGGGCAGCAAGAUGCCUGGGGAUGGGUGAAAGUCGAGGUUCUCCAGGGAGCGCAAGAUGGUGAGGGAAAGGCCUUGAAUAUUGCCAGACCUUGACUUUCAUGAGCAGCCACCAAAGAAUUUUAGGUAGGAAAAUGAAAUAAUUUAAUUCAGAAAUGUCUCUCUGAAGAACAGUAUGGCUUAGACACUGCUGUGGUUUGUUUCUUUUCUGUGGCACUUAGGAAAACACUCAAGAUGAGAGGAAUUCGCUUUGGCUCUUGGGGUGGGGGUGGGAGUGUCCAGGAGUCUGGCCCAGCUUCUGGCUUGGAUUCCUGGCAGGAAAGUGAAAGGGCAGGUGAGCAUAUGUAGGAGACACACACAAGGAGUGGCUUCACCUCCUGGGAGUCUGCUCCAGGAACCCUCACCCUGUCAGCCUGUCCCCACAGCAGUCCUUUGGGGGGGUUGGGGGGAGAUCAGGGUCCAGGCUGUGACCUGGCUGACAACAUGGAGAACAGUCAUUCACAGCAACAGGAGCUGGAGGAGGAGGUGGGUGUGGAAAGGAGUGCGUUUUGAUCACAGUAAGAGCUCACAGGCUCUUCCAGGGAGAAAUUGGGUACAGUCACCUUGCUUUGCAAUUUCAUUUUCCAUGGUUUCUGUACUUAAAGUCUGACUACAGUCAGUUGCAUUCUGGAAAUAUUUGGUGGAAAAUUCCAGGAGUAAACAACACAUACUUUAUGAAUUGUGAUUCUUUCUGAGCAUGUGAUAAAUCCUCAGCUGGCCAGUUCCACCCCUGGGACUCAGUGCACCCAGCUGCACUCUGCUCACUGGGCAGCCACCUUGGUCACGAGGCCUCUGCCUGGGGCUCACAGUGUGUGCCCAAGGAUAAACAAGGCCCGGGGCCAUUCACAGGCCAGGCAUCUAGGGGUCCUGAAACAUGUCACCACAGGUAAGGGCGACCUGGCAGCUGUGUCAACCUAGGGCAGAAAGUAGCAAGAGGAGCAAGGGAGGCUAUGUCACAUUGUGCAAGAGGGCACAAGAGCAAUCGGGUAGAGCUCAACAGGGUUCAACAUAAAGGUGCAGGGGACCAAGGGAUUCCAGAGGGAAAUGAUAAAAAGAGUGAAAUUAAAGAAAUCAGAAGAUGGGCCAGGGAU
This is a long non-coding RNA of Fukomys damarensis (Damara mole-rat), 2607 nucleotides long. RefSeq lists it as uncharacterized. NCBI's taxonomy places the organism in Eukaryota, Metazoa, Chordata, Mammalia, Rodentia, Bathyergidae. The transcript has 3 exons. The record is from RefSeq and is a predicted model, not a curated record.